This 253-nucleotide ribosomal RNA is filed under the name uncultured bacterium. Its description in RNAcentral is "partial 16S ribosomal RNA". It matches the Rfam family "Bacterial small subunit ribosomal RNA", at positions 524 to 776 of the family's 1533-position model. The record is from RNAcentral.
UACGUAGGGCGCGAGCGUUGUCCGGAAUUAUUGGGCGUAAAGAGCUCGUAGGCGGUUUGUCGCGUCUGCUGUGAAAACUCGGGGCUUAACCCCGGGCCUGCAGUGGGUACGGGCAGACUAGAGUUCGGUAGGGGAGACUGGAAUUCCUGGUGUAGCGGUGAAAUGCGCAGAUAUCAGGAGGAACACCGGUGGCGAAGGCGGGUCUCUGGGCCGAUACUGACGCUGAGGAGCGAAAGCGUGGGGAGCGAACAGG